This 600-nucleotide long non-coding RNA is filed under the name Elaeis guineensis (African oil palm). RNAcentral's name for it is "long non-coding RNA (EGUI_LNC066421)". The record is from RNAcentral. Lineage: Eukaryota; Viridiplantae; Streptophyta; Magnoliopsida; Arecales; Arecaceae.
AUUCGGAAGGCGGUCGACCACCGUAAAAACUUGGAUGGAGUCUGGUUACUGUAGAAGUCCUGUUGCUAGAGAAGCUCGGACAUUGAUGAAGUCCAGAAAGAGUUCGGAGUAAAGUCGAUCGUGGCAGGAAGAAGUCUGGAGGAGAUUCGGAGAGUAGUCGAUCACUGUAGAAAAUUGGCUGAUAGUGAAGCCUAGAGAGCAUUUGGAGCGGUCUGAUAGAUGAAUGAAGGAGCUUAUUAUUGGAGAAGUCCAGAUGGCACGAUAGGAGUUCGUCCGUUGGAGGAAUCUGGAGUUCACUGUGGAAGGUCGACUGCUGGGGGAGUUUGGAUGGUACUGUGGAAGCUCGGACAGUCGGAGGAGUUCAGAAAGAUGCCGUACGAGGUUGGAGGUCGGAAGAGUCCUGGGAGGGUCGGCCUCUUACGAACUUCGGUUGGGAUUAUUUUAUACCCAACAAGACCUAAUUAAAUAUAGAUAUGAUCUACACUUGCUGAAUUUUAGAUUUUAGAUUUAUAUACAUGUAUAUUUGUCCAUAUCAUAGAUCCUGUAUGAUAGUUUUAGAUUUGAUCUAUGCAUCAUUAUAGAUUAAAUUAUUUAAUCUAU